Long non-coding RNA from Cucumis sativus (cucumber), 4003 nucleotides. RefSeq lists it as uncharacterized. NCBI's taxonomy places the organism in Eukaryota, Viridiplantae, Streptophyta, Magnoliopsida, Cucurbitales, Cucurbitaceae. The transcript has 5 exons. The record is from RefSeq and is a predicted model, not a curated record.
AAAUUCAGCGUUGGAAAGACGCUUGGUCGGACCUUCCCUCCUCUUUUCAUCUGCCGUCACUCUUUUUAACGUAAUCGUUCUCAUUGGCCAGCUCCCUUCCGUGGGUUUCUGAUUGGGUGUUACUGUCGAGGUUUGCUUUACGUUAUUAUGCUUGAAUUGUUGAUUCAUUCCCGAAACACUACUAAGCCCACAUUCUCGACGAACCAUCUCUCUAUUUUCAAUUUCAGGGCUAGUUACAUCAUCUUGGCCAAACCUAUGGGCUCCAGCGUUUCAACUUCGGAUUUAUGCCAUGGGCUUAGCCCAUUCAUAAAGGUUUCUUCUAAUACUAUGGUCUGGAGGAAGGCUACCGGAGCUAAAUAUUUAUCGAAACUGUUUCUAUAUUCCCCUACUGUCGUUUCCUGCUUAAUCCUUAAGAAUCUGCCUACGAGUGUUCCAUCCCGAAUCGUCUGAAAUCGGACAACAACCUUUGCUUCAAAUCUUCCCAACUCUUGAAUUGUUCCAAUUCAUCAAUUGAUCUAUACCAAUCCAAAGCUGGUCCUAAUAACUGAUUACCGCUACCAUUAACUUCUCUGAGUCAGUCAACUUGUGUAUCUUGAAAUAACGAUCGGCGCGAAAUAACCAUGAAUCGGGGUCUAUUCCAUUGAAGAUCGGGAUCUCUACCUUCUUGAACUUGCUCCGGUCUGUUGUUUUUUCCUCGUCUUUCCUUCCAUAUUUCUUCGAUCCUUCCGAUAUUUCUGAACAUUCGUUUCGAUCCCUUUUGUGUGGCUCACUGCGCCUUCUGUUUUCUUUCCCUUUUGUGUGGCUCACAUCCUAAACACAUCCUUUGUUUUACUGCUAAACCAAUGACAGAGUGGCUAACAUGUGUAGAACAUGGACUCUGGCAAACUAAAGUGUGUACUUCUUAACUAGUCCCUAUUCGAUGCUUAAUUAUGAAAUUAUAUUUUCCAAUUCAAAUUAUAGCAUUAGUCUCUUUACAUUUACUUAGUGAGAAGUCUCCUUUCCUGGUAAUGAAAAAAUUGUAUUCCAAAUAAAUGGCAUACUAUAUAAUCAAUUAUUUGACAAUUAUUUUUAGAAAGUUUAAGAAUUCUUCUGACUAAUGAUGAAAAGAGGACGACUUCAUAUUUAUUAUUAAGUUGUGUUCACACUGCUCAAAGCCCUAACCCAUGUAUAUGAUUGUUGUUCGGUAGUGACAUUUGUUUGUAGCUUCUCUGAACUUUUCACUGAGAAAUUCUAUAGGACACCUUCUAAUGAGUUAAAUUCCUAUCCAAAUUGUGGAAGUAUAUAUGACUUAAUUAAACAAUAAUGCAUCAUUGCGUACUCUAGUGGGAUGGUGUUGUUGUCACCACCCCCUCCCAAAGCUCCUUAUUUUCUGAACAACAUCUAGCUCUGAAAGAAGGUGCGAGGGUUGGCAAGGAUUGCCAUACCUUGGCAAAACUUACCAACCGACUAACCUUUCUAACUUAACUACCAGUUACAACAUGAAUGCAUGCUCAAAACAAACAGCGAUACAAGCUACAUGCUUUUACUAAUAACUUAAACCACUAGUUACAACUAUUGUGAUACAUCAGCAGAAGCUUUAAACAUGACAGUGACCUUUUUACUAAACUAACUUAUAACAUUGGAACUUUAACAAUAAACAUAGACAUGCUCAUCCUGAACUUUUCUUACAAAGUCAAAACUAACUUUCAAAAUGACUUAACAAUUUCUAGUAACUGGUUGGCUCAGCAGCAAUACGCUUAACAUUAGGGAAUGCAUAAUCCAUACCUGAAAAGUGAGAAAUGAUUUGAAAGGAUAAGUCGAAAGACUUAGUGAGUGACAAUUUUUAUAAAACAUGCUUUCUAAAACAGUUAAGCAUAAAUUCUUGUCUUAUAGAAACAUUCAAGCUGUUGGAAAUCAUUUGAAAGACAUGAUACUCGAACUGCAUUCUUGAUUAUAAAUUCACAACCCGUUCUUAGCAUGAAGUCUAGGUAAUAUUAACACCUCAUUGUCAAAAGACGGCCUAGGCAUUGAAACACCUCUUCGAAAAAAGAAGGUAUCCUUCUCCUCAAUGGGCUCAACAAAGUACACCUUUCCUGAUGAAUUCAGCAUAGGCUCGUCAACUUUCCCAUUAGUAGUAGAGUUAACCAAAUGUGCACAUACGACCGUAAAGAGAACAUAGAACAUAUGGGCUGCUGGUUGCAUUGCAUAGAACAUCCGCAUGCUCGAACAUCCAGAAUUUGCUCAAAAUUUCCCAAAACACCAAACAUCCCAAAAACUACGUCAUGACAAUGCUGGCUGCACGGCAUGGGCGCAGGCAGCAUGCACGUGCAUAGAGUAUCAGAAUGCCAGUUGCAUGCUUGGCUUGGGCCCACACAUGCCGCGUGCACCUCACCGCAUGCUGUCAUAAUCGUAAAUUUUCAAAUAGGGGAUGGUGAUUAUGCGACGUUUGUUCUAGCUCGGUGAACAAGUAAGCUGUAUGAAAUCCAGAAGUCGCAAAAAGCACGCAGUACGGUAUAGCCUCUUUCAUGUUUUGAGAGAAAUUUAUUUUUAUAAGACAAGAAGAGAAGAAAAGAAUUGAAAACAUCGUUAAAGAAAGCAUUGAAGACUGUUAAUUGCAAAGAAAGAUUAGAAUGCAAAGAGUGCAACAAGGCUUGGUCAGGGAUUCAACUACUAUGUCUUCCCUAUAGUACAUUUUAAACAUUUUUAGCUAUGACAGACUUGCAUAUGAAAAUUUUGAAACGUCACACCCUAGGUCGGCGACAACAAAAGGAAACAAAAUGGCUAAACUAAGUAUAAGACAUAAAUAUAAGGCGGUUUGAGGAUGUUCGGCCAUGCGGCCAUGGGCAAACAAUGCCUUGGACAAGCAUGCUCUUGACAUUCUCCCCUACUUAAACAGUUGACGUCCCUGUCGACUGGCGAAGCUGGAACUCUUUGAUCUUCCAUUUCCACACUUCAAGGUCUUCGACACGUUCACAAUUUGUUUCUUCCACAUGGAGGUUCUUCUACUUGACCAAGAAUUCGUGGAUUCUCCCAAUAGUGUUAAAUUGUGUUGGUUGAUCUGAAAUUCCUUGUAGUGGUUGUAAUCUGAUGCGUAGAAUUUCUUGACAACCUCCAUCGAAUCUUGGAAGUCCCUUGAAGAACUUACUCCAUCCAAACGCCCCAAUUGGGGCGUCCAUAAACUCUCGGAGGGCCACGUCGAAAGGAAAGGUCCUUCUCUACCUUCACUUUGCUGGCAAUGCUAAACUUUGGGGCCUUGCCUCCCUCGCCACCUUGUUGGCUUCCCUCAGGAACCUUAUUUGAUCGUGAAAUUGGAAUCUGCUGAGAAGACGUGGAAAAAAUUAUCGGUUAAGCUGGUCAAUCCAGAUAUUGUCUCAAACCCCACAGAGUAUCAAAAACUAGCUCAAUCAAUAUCAGAACUUGAUGAGGUGGUAUCUACUUUUAGAAAAUUCAAGGAAUGUGAGGCCAAAGCUAAGUGGGAACGAUGAGGAUAUGGUAGAGAUGAUUGCUUUAGAAAUCAGUUCUUUAUCCAGUGAGCUCAAAGAUAUCGAAGAGAAGCUUAAGGUGCUUUUGGUUCAUGAACAUGAUUUUUGCAUGUGGAAUUGAAGCCUUUGUAACAUCUGAUCUUCAGGGUUUAUCUGAGUAGGGGCAAAAAUCACUUGAAGCUCUAAAGCCAAAACUGAAGGUAGGCGUUGAGAAGGGUUUUGCUUUUAUACAUAAGCAAGUUGUAGCUGCUUAAAAACUCUCAUUUCAAGAACAUUCAUGGAGAGUAGAUUGAAUCCCAAUAAUCGAAUUGCAACUUUUUUAGUAGUUUGUAUGUUUCCAUUUUACCUCGUAAUUAUAAAAAUAAUGUAUUCGUUUCAUUAGGAGUUCCUAGUAAUUAAAAAUUUUGUAAUAACACGGUUUAGUUAAACUAUGCAUCUCACCAAAAAUACACUUGGAUUGUGUUUUUUGGGUCAAUACCAGAAAAAGUAUAUAAUCUAUAUGUUGGCGAUGUUCUUUGAGAGUGAAGAACGUUCCAUGUUCA